GUUGAUAGGCCGGGUGUGUAAGCGCAGCGAUGCGUUGAGCUAACCGGUACUAAUGACCCGUGAGGCUUAACCUU
Molecule: ribosomal RNA, 74 nt
Filed under: Pantoea agglomerans
Lineage: Bacteria; Pseudomonadati; Pseudomonadota; Gammaproteobacteria; Enterobacterales; Erwiniaceae
Also listed under: 1 other name
Description: partial 23S ribosomal RNA
Rfam family: Bacterial large subunit ribosomal RNA
Source: RNAcentral